Non-coding RNA from Camellia sinensis, 409 nucleotides. The record is from RefSeq and is a predicted model, not a curated record. Lineage: Eukaryota; Viridiplantae; Streptophyta; Magnoliopsida; Ericales; Theaceae.
CCUAGCCCCCAAACCCUUGAAUUCCUUUACUUUGAUCACGAUCCACCAUGGUUUUUGGCAUCAAGGAUGAAGAACAAGGGAGGAUUAAUGUUUUUACCCGAUUGGAACUUGGAUUUGCGAAGGCUUCUUUCCAAGCUCACUCUUUUGCUUGAUUAUUGAGGACACGCUUCGGGAGGAAUAAAUGCUCCACCAAUGCACUGCACUCAACCUGGAGAUCAACCUUCACUUGUGGCUUUUGUUACCCAGUUGUCAAACCCUGAGUAUCUAAGCUCUUAGAUGUUGAUCGUUCAAGUCAUGGAGUUUUGCUAAGUUUUAAUUUGUACCCUAAAUGUCUGUUAAGAUCGGCGUAUAUGUAUAUGUACUUAGCUAUCUUCAGGUGCAUGUCACUGUAUAUUUAUCUGCAUUAUGU